Molecule: ribosomal RNA, 382 nt
Filed under: uncultured bacterium
Lineage: Bacteria
Description: partial 16S ribosomal RNA
Rfam family: Bacterial small subunit ribosomal RNA
Source: RNAcentral
UGGGGAAUUUUGGACAAUGGGCGAAAGCCUGAUCCAGCAAUGCCGCGUGUGUGAAGAAGGCCUUCGGGUUGUAAAGCACUUUUGUCCGGAAAGAAAUCCUUGGCUCUAAUACAGUCGGGGGAUACGGUACCGGAAGAAUAAGCACCGGCUAACUACGUGCCAGCAGCCGCGGUAAUACGUAGGGUGCAAGCGUUAAUCGGAAUUACUGGGCGUAAAGCGUGCGCAGGCGGUUUGCUAAGACCGAUGUGAAAUCCCCGGGCUCAACCUGGGAACUGCAUUGGUGACUGGCAGGCUAGAGUAUGGCAGAGGGGGGUAGAAUUCCACGUGUAGCAGUGAAAGUGCGUAGAGAUGUGGAGGAAUACCGAUGGCGAAGGCAGCCCCC